RNAcentral lists this ribosomal RNA (254 nucleotides) under uncultured bacterium. RNAcentral's name for it is "partial 16S ribosomal RNA". It matches the Rfam family "Bacterial small subunit ribosomal RNA", at positions 524 to 776 of the family's 1533-position model. The record is from RNAcentral.
UACGUAGGGUCGAGACGUUGUCCGGAAUUAUCGUGGCGUAAAGAGCUCGUAGGCGGUUUGUCGCGUCUGCUGUGAAAAUCCAGGGCUUAACCCUGGACCUGCAGUGGGUACGGGCAGACUAGAGUGCGGUAGGGGAGAUCGGAAUUCCUGGUGUAGCGGUGAAAUGCGCAGAUAUCAGGAGGAACACCGGUGGCGAAGGCGGAUCUCUGGGCCGUAACUGACGCUGAGGAGCGAAAGCAUGGGGAGCGAACAGG